Molecule: ribosomal RNA, 500 nt
Filed under: uncultured bacterium
Lineage: Bacteria
Description: bacterial SSU rRNA
Rfam family: Bacterial small subunit ribosomal RNA
Source: RNAcentral
AGAGUUUGAUCAUGGCUCAGAAUCAACGCUGGCGGCGUGCCUAACACAUGCAAGUCGAACGAGAAAGGGGAGCAAUCCCUGAGUACAGUGGCGUACGGGUGAGUAACACGUGGGUAAUCUACCUUUUGGUGGGGAAUAACCCUGGGAAACCGGGGCUAAUACCGCAUAAUCUCGCGAUUAUCAAAGAUGGUGAGGAAAGGAGCAAUUCGCCGAAAGAGGAGCCCGCGGCUGAUUAGCUAGUUGGUGAGGUAAAGGCUCACCAAGGCAAUGAUCGGUAGCCGGCCUGAGAGGGCACACGGCCACACUGGCACUGAAACACGGGCCAGACUCCUACGGGAGGCAGCAGUGGGGAAUCUUGCACAAUGGGGGCAACCCUGAUGCAGCGACGCCGCGUGAGCGAUGAAGCCCUUCGGGGUGUAAAGCUCUUUCGGCAGGGACGAUAAUGACGGUACCUGAAGAAGAAGCUGCGGCUAACUACGUGCCAGCCGCCGCGGUAAUAC